Molecule: ribosomal RNA, 497 nt
Filed under: uncultured bacterium
Lineage: Bacteria
Description: partial 16S ribosomal RNA
Rfam family: Bacterial small subunit ribosomal RNA
Source: RNAcentral
GAUGAACGCUGGCGGCGUGCCUAAUACAUGCAAGUCGAGCGAACAGACGAGGAGCUUGCCCCUCUGACGUUAGCGGCGGACGGGUGAGUAACACGUGGAUAACCUACCUAUAAGACUGGGAUAACUUCGGGAAACCGGAGCUAAUACCGGAUAAUAUAUUGAACCGCAUGGUUCAAUAGUGAAAGACGGUUUUGCUGUCACUUAUAGAUGGAUCCGCGCCGCAUUAGCUAGUUGGUAAGGUAACGGCUUACCAAGGCAACGAUGCGUAGCCGACCGGAGAGGGUGAGCGGCCACACUGGAACGGAGACACGGCCCAGACUCCUACGGGAGGCAGCAGUAGGGAAUCUUCCGCAAUGGGCGAAAGCCUGACGGCGGAACGCCGCGUGAGGGAUGAAGGUCUUCGGAUCGUAAAACUCUGUUAUUAGGGAAGAACAAAUGUGUAAGUAACUAUGCACGUCUUGACGGUACCUAAUCAGAAAGGCACGGCUAACUACGUG